RNAcentral lists this ribosomal RNA (425 nucleotides) under uncultured eukaryote. RNAcentral's name for it is "bacterial SSU rRNA". It matches the Rfam family "Eukaryotic small subunit ribosomal RNA", at positions 592 to 1018 of the family's 1831-position model. The record is from RNAcentral.
CAAUAGCGUAUACUAAAGUUGUUGCAGUUAAAAAGCUCGUAGUUGAAUUUCUGGUCUUGGACGGCGGUCUACCACAAUUGUGGUACGUACCAACUGUCCGAGUCCAUCCUCGGGGAAAACAUGCCUGUGAUUCAGUUCAUGGGUAUGGGAUCCUCGUCAUUUACUGUGAGCAAAAUAGAGUGUUUAAAGCAGGCUUAUGCCGUUGAAUAUAUUAGCAUGGAAUAAUAAGAUAGGACUUCGGAACUAUUUUGUUGGUUUGCGUUACGAAGUAAUGAUUAAUAGGGACAGUUGGGGGUAUUCGUAUUUCGUUGUCAGAGGUGAAAUUCUUGGAUUUAUGAAAGAUGAACUUCUGCGAAAGCAUUUGCCAAGGAUGUUUUCAUUAAUCAAGAACGAAAGUUAGGGGAUCGAAGACGAUCAGAUACCGU